GCUGGUAUGAGUCUGUCCCCCGGGGGUGCAGCUGAAGAAGCGAAAAGGCAACGCUGUGCACGGCCUGUCCGUCCCUGUCCAGGAGGGUGACACAGCGGGAACGACCCAAAGACCCGCCCAGAGAAGCAGGGCCCCAGGAGGCGACGUAAAACCACUUACAACAGUACAAAACCAUCGAACAACUUUACAAAAACACGGAAGUUUUUUUGUGCGAUUCUCCCGCACGACAGACGGUUACAACACGUGUGCCUGGACGCUGCAGCUCCCAGAAAACGUGGCCGAGACGUCAACCACACGCCCGCCGAGUCUGGGUGGGCAGGCCACAGCAUGCGCACGCCCCUAAAUACUCUGAAUGAGCUGCAGCAGACACACAGGAAUACCUCAGCCUGAGCUCCUCUCCCCAGAAGGCUUCCUGGCUGCUACGUGGAGAUGGGCCACCCUGCAAAAGGCAGGCAGAGUUCUCCGGCUGCUGGAAAGAAACCUCGCAUCUGGGGUGGUGGCUUGACUUGUCAGCCCAGAACACCAGUGAUUAACGCAGAUGUCCGCCUCCUUCGACAGGCCGUGAGGGCCCGGCAAGGGCAGGCCCCGGGACCUCAGCACAGUGCCUCAUAGGGAGCGGGCACACGGAUGGCAGAUGGACAGGUGGGCAGACUGCAAACACCAGGAUUAUUAGAAACUACUUCUGUGUUAUUCUGAGUAAUGUCUACACUUCCCAGAGAAAGUGCUUUCAAAGCAAGUACCUUCAGCCUUUUCUUUUCACUUGAAGAAUAGUAAAGUCCAUGCCAAAUUUCACAAGCGCAGCUUCCCCGCCCAGCAUGACGCGCUUUAGAAAUGAAAAGUCCACAAGGAUCCCUCCGCCUUAAGGACACACCUGCCUGCGUCUGAAAUCAUUCCAGACCCCCCAUCUUCUCCUCACAAUCCCACCUGACAACAUCCACGGUUACAGAACCCGGGGACCCAACCGCAAUCCACGUCGUCCCACAGCUGGACAAAAACAGCUUCUACAAUACGGAAGGGGGCCGAGGGAAUGUCCCGACGAUCACCUAGGAAAGCGAGUCCGUCUGAAUCCUCAGGGGUCUCUUCCCACUCUGGGUAAAAACCCACCCACAGAACGCUGUGCGGCUGUACCUUACAUAGCGAGCAUUCACCCUGGUUCACUGUGCAUGAAAAUGGGAGAGGGCAGAGCAGGAAGCACAGGGUGGCCCCACCUUUUUAAAGUUCUGUCUUGGGCGCCUGGGUGGCUCAGUCUGUUAAGCAUCUGCCUUCGGGUCAGGUCAUGACCCCAGGGUCCUGGGAUCGAACCCCGCAUUGGGCUCCCUGCUCAGUACGGAGCCUACCUCUCCCU
Molecule: long non-coding RNA, 1345 nt
Organism: Ailuropoda melanoleuca (giant panda)
Lineage: Eukaryota; Metazoa; Chordata; Mammalia; Carnivora; Ursidae
Exons: 5
Source: RefSeq, a predicted model, not a curated record